This 371-nucleotide ribosomal RNA is filed under the name uncultured bacterium. Its description in RNAcentral is "bacterial SSU rRNA". It matches the Rfam family "Bacterial small subunit ribosomal RNA", at positions 527 to 896 of the family's 1533-position model. The record is from RNAcentral.
GUAGGGUGCGAGCGUUAAUCGGAAUUACUGGGCGUAAAGCGUGCGCAGGCGGUUUGUUAAGACAGGCGUGAAAUCCCCGGGCUCAACCUGGGAACUGCGCUUGUGACUGGCAGGCUAGAGUACGGCAGAGGGGGGUGGAAUUCCACGUGUAGCAGUGAAAUGCGUAGAGAUGUGGAGGAACACCAAUGGCGAAGGCAGCCCCCUGGGUCGAUACUGACGCUCAUGCACGAAAGCGUGGGUAGCAAACAGGAUUAGAUACCCUGGUAGUCCACGCCCUAAACGAUGUCAACUAGGUGUUGGAUGGGUAAAACCAUUUAGUACCGGAGCUAACGCGUGAAGUUGACCGCCUGGGGAGUACGGCCGCAAGGUUA